UACGGAGGGGACUAGCGUUGUUCGGAAUUACUGGGCGUAAAGCGCACGUAGGCGGAUUUGUAAGUCAGGGGUGAAAUCCCGGGGCUCAACCUCGGAACUGCCUUUGAUACUGCGAAUCUCGAGUCCGGAAGAGGUGAGUGGAAUUCCUAGUGUAGAGGUGAAAUUCGUAGAUAUUAGGAAGAACACCAGUGGCGAAGGCGGCUCACUGGUCCGGUACUGACGCUGAGGCACGAAAGCGUGGGGAGCAAACAGG
Molecule: ribosomal RNA, 253 nt
Filed under: uncultured bacterium
Lineage: Bacteria
Description: partial 16S ribosomal RNA
Rfam family: Bacterial small subunit ribosomal RNA
Source: RNAcentral